Molecule: ribosomal RNA, 253 nt
Filed under: uncultured bacterium
Lineage: Bacteria
Description: partial 16S ribosomal RNA
Rfam family: Bacterial small subunit ribosomal RNA
Source: RNAcentral
UACAGGGGGUGCAAACGUUGUUCGGAAUCAUUGGGCGUAAAGCGCACGUAGGCGGCAUUGCAAGUCAGGUGUGAAAGCCUGGGGCUCAACCCCAGAAGUGCAUUUGAAACUGCAGUGCUUGAGUCUUGGAGAGGGCAGUGGAAUUCCGAGUGUAGAGGUGAAAUUCGUAGAUAUUCGGAGGAACACCAGUGGCGAAGGCGACUGCCUGGACAAAGACUGACGCUGAGGUGCGAAAGCGUGGGGAGCAAACAGG